This 638-nucleotide ribosomal RNA is filed under the name uncultured fungus. RNAcentral describes it as "eukaryotic LSU rRNA". It matches the Rfam family "Eukaryotic large subunit ribosomal RNA", at positions 1 to 606 of the family's 3401-position model. The record is from RNAcentral. Lineage: Eukaryota; Fungi.
GGGAUCCAGGGUAAGGGAAAUACCNCGCCUGGANCUUAAAGGCAUUUCAAUUAAGGCNGGAAGGGAAAAAAGAAANCCCAACAGGGGAUUUACCCCUANGUAAACGGGCGANGUGAAAGCGGUAACAGGCUUCAAAAUUUGNNAUUCUGGGCCNUUUACAGGGUCCGAGUUGGUAAUUUGUAAGAGGGAUGUUUUCGGGCAAAGGGCUGUGGUUUUAANUUUUCUUGGAACAGAACGUCAUAGAGGGUGAGAAUCCCCGUCUAGAACCGGUAGCCGCGUCCAUGUGAAACUCCUUCGACGAGUCGAGUUGUUUGGGAAUGCAGCUCAAAAUGGGUGGUAAAUUUCAUCUAAAGCUAAAUAUUGGCCAGAGACCGAUAGCGCACAAGUAGAGUGAUCGAAAGAUGAAAAGCACUUUGAAAAGAGAGUUAAACAGUAUGUGAAAUUGUUGAAAGGGAAGCGCUUGCAACCAGACUUGCGUGUAGCGGUUCCCCCGGUCUUUUGACCGGGCUAUUCCGUUAUAUCCAGGCCAGCAUCGGUUCGGGUGGUUGGUUAAAGGUCUUGGGAAUGUAUCUACCUUCGGGUCGACUUAUAGCUCAGGGCGUAAUGCGACCUACCUGGACCGAGGAACGCGCUUUUGC